Molecule: ribosomal RNA, 253 nt
Filed under: uncultured bacterium
Lineage: Bacteria
Description: partial 16S ribosomal RNA
Rfam family: Bacterial small subunit ribosomal RNA
Source: RNAcentral
UACGUAGGGGGCUAGCGUUGUCCGGAUUUAUUGGGCGUAAAGAGCGUGUAGGCGGUCCGGUAGGUCCGCUGUGAAAGUCGGGGGCUCAACCCUCGGAUGCCGGUGGAUACUGUCGGGCUUGAGUACGGAAGAGGCGAGUGGAAUUCCUGGUGUAGCGGUGAAAUGCGCAGAUAUCAGGAGGAACACCAAUUGCGAAGGCAGCUCGCUGGGACGUUACUGACGCUGAGACGCGAAAGCGUGGGGAGCAAACAGG